Gossypium arboreum is the source of this 3142-nucleotide RNA transcript. It is a transcript of the gene named ethylene-responsive transcription factor RAP2-10-like, with no coding region annotated. Lineage: Eukaryota; Viridiplantae; Streptophyta; Magnoliopsida; Malvales; Malvaceae. The record is from RefSeq and is a predicted model, not a curated record. The transcript is spliced from 4 exons.
CAACCCCAACAUGCCAAGCUUUAAAGCAUUCAAGUCCACGCCCCGUUUUCCUUUUUUCCCCCAGUUAUAACAAUUACUAAGAAUAAUAAUAUUGUGUAUGUUGUAUUUAUAACAAAAUUCCCUUACUCCACAUAGAUUUGUGUCGGUGAAUUUGGAUUUUCUCUUUUAUAGUUUUUCUUCCUUCUCUUUCUCUCUGCCUUUCUUUUUUUGUUCUAAAAUAUAACUUUGUUGUGUCGGAAAAACAUUACAUUUCAAACACAUGACACAACCAAACUAAACUAUGUCAUCUCCAACUCUCCAUUCUUCUCCUCCCCCUUCAUAGUUCCAGCUUUCUUCCCCUGUUCUAAUAAAAACCCAAGCCUCCCGACUACACAACCCAGAGUUGAGGAACAUAGGAUUUCUCCAAUAAUUUGCAAGGCAUGGAGAAUGGAACAGGAGUUGUUGCUUCAAGGGAGAGUUCGAGGAAGCCCACGGCGGAGAGGCCUUACAAAGGGAUAAGGAUGAGGAAGUGGGGGAAAUGGGUGGCUGAGAUUAGGGAACCCAAUAAACGGUCGAGGAUUUGGUUAGGGUCUUAUUCAACACCUGUUGCGGCGGCUCGAGCUUAUGACACGGCGGUUUUUUACCUGCGUGGACCGUCGGCGAGGUUGAACUUUCCUGACCUUUUGGCGGGAGAGAGAGUUGGCAGCGCCGGUGGCGGCUCGCUCGGUGGGGAUUUGUCAGCGGCUUCUAUAAGGAAAAAAGCAAUUGAAGUUGGUGCUAGAGUUGAUGCUCUUGAGGCAGCUCACCACCACCACCACCAUCAUAAUCAUCGUGGUCAUAAUUAUAAUCAUGGUUAUGACGAAGAGUUGAAGCCAAGUACAGGCGGUUUUUUACAUCGGGUUGACUUGAACAAGAUGCCCGACCCGGAAGAUUCAGAUGGUGAAUGGGAAAGGAAAUAGGAAGUUAAAAAAAAAACAAGUUGAUUGAAUCAUGACCCUCCAACUUUUAUGAUUACAAAGUUGUAAUUUUCGUUCCGUCUCUUUUGGCGGCUACCCCGAGGGAAAAAAGGAAGGGGAAAAGAAAAGGGCGAAGAGGAGGGAGGGGGGGGUUUGCUAAAAUGCACCGGGGGCAAUUCCUAUCGUGCACACUGUAGUGGAGGCACUUUUUCUUUUCAUUGGUGGGAUUUGACGGUGGUAAAAAAUUUGACCGCUGGAGAAAAAGAAAAAGUAAAUUGAAGCCUCUUCACUGUGAUUCAGUAAAAAAGAUAUAUAAUUACUUUGGUGUCUUAGAAAUCAAGUCGCGGAUGUGAUGGAAUUUGAGCCAUUUUUGGUUUUAACAAGGCUUUACUCCUGUUCUUCGGGGAGAGUGGAGGGACCAGAUGUGCAAGUUGAAGCGACAUAGUCUAAAGAUCACUCCCCACCGAAAAAAAGCAAAUAAAGUGAGGAAAUAGAUAUAAUUAUUUUAAAAAUAAUUUAUAUGUUAAUUAUUUGUGUUAUACAAUAUUAUCUUUUUAAAAACAUAUAUUUUGUGAUAGUAUUAGAUAUUGGAAAUGGACAAGAAGAGAUGAAAAGGGAACAUGCAGUGGCCUACACAUUCGGGCAGUUAGGUGCAAAUUGGCCAUACUAACCACUAAUGCUAUAACUACUAGAGUGAUAAGAUUUUGAGGUAGGUAUUUUUCUGGUUCUCCACUCUGGAUGUGGGACAUGUGAAGCUAGAAUAAAAAUAAUAAUAAAAAGAAAAGAACGAUUGCCGUCCUCCUGGAAAUGGAUGAUGAUGUUUUGGUCGGUCCAACUUGGUUGUUGCGGAAGGUUUUUUUCAUAAUAAUCUAUUACAUUAGUUGUCAAAUCUCGCCCCUCCUUGACAAUCCAAAAACACCAAUACGAUUUUUAUGCUUUGACUUGUUUUCUUCUUCGUCCUCCUCCAACAACUUUCUUCCAAUCACCGAAAGAAAAUUGUUUGUUUAAGAGUAACUUAAGAAUCUUCAAUGCCCAUUGGCCUCUUUUGAUGUAGAUAUUUGGCCUAUUAGCCAUCUAUCAAAUCUGCGGAUUUAAGGGAUUGACAUGAAUUCCUUCUUAAUAACUGCGUGUUGACCCUGGUGAAAGAGUUGUAUGGCUAUAAUGUAAAUCCCAUACUAAAUACAGGAGUAAAUUUUGAGAAAAAGGUAAAACACAGGACAAAAUUGAACGUACUGCACGUGUCAUUUUCUCUCUCCAAUUUGUUUUUCAUUUGAGUUAAGCUUUUCCUUAGUUAUCGAGCUUUAUCUAAGGCAGCUCUUACAACUUCUCUUCUUGUGAUGAUACCGAUCUUCAAAUGACAGGAAGAGCGCAAUGUAAUAUGCAAGUGACAUGAUGAAUCCAGUUCUAGUGUCACGGGGCUAGACCUUUCGUCUCGCAAUCCGUGCGGCCUUAGGCGAUUCGCUCGUCCAAACUCGCCCAAGUCAGCCUUUACUCGAAUGAGGACUUCUUAAGAACUCCUCCAAGGCACUAACUCGUACAGCGGAAGACUUACUUACGCCAAAAGAAGCUUAUAAGAACAACAGAAAGGGACGCACACAAAGUGUUUGAGUAAAUGCUCUCUAUUCUCUUAUUCACAAAGAAUAAUGAAACAAUGAAUGGAGUGUGUACAAAUGAGGGGGAGGCUCUCUAUUUAUACUUGAGCUCCCCCAAAACCGACGGUCAAGAUACAAUUACAUCGACGGACGAGAUUAAAGGAUGGACCUUCAAUCUCUUCGAGCAACGGGCCAGUCCGAUCGGGCCAACUAGACUUUAAUUCGACAAGCUUCUCCAAUAGUUCCUUGAAUCGGGCCAGCUCACGUGGGCCAAAUGAUCCCCAUCUAAGUAAUAGACCUCCAUUGGAUGCAUUUGGUUCGAUGGUCACGGGCUCUAAACUCUGGCCCGUGACACUAGUGGUAGGUCGAUAUGGGUUUCGAUGAAAAUCUUAGCUUUGAAGCUUAAUGCUUUCCUAUAUACCAAAAGAAUGACAUAUAAAAGGGGAAGCAGUCAAGCUUUACUGUUGUUUCACGUACGACAAAUGGAGCUGCUGUCACUAAAUCCCCAACUACCGGUCCGUUGGUUUCAUUGAGUAACUUAUGUACUUUGUUGAAACUCUGCAAAAUUGAGGACCAUUGAGUUGGACAUAAGAAAAAGUAUAAAAUAAAUACAAA